UACAGAGUUCCCAAGCGUUGUUCGGAUUCACUGGGCGUAAAGGGUGCGUAGGCGGUUAGGUAAGUCUGACGUGAAAUCUCCGGGCCUAACCCGGAAACUGCGUUGGAAACUACUUGACUAGAGGAAUGGAGGGGAGACUGGAAUACUUGGUGUAGCAGUGAAAUGCGUAGAUAUCAAGUGGAACACCAGUGGCGAAGGCGAGUCUCUGGACAUUUCCUGACGCUGAGGCACGAAAGCCAGGGGAGCAAACGGG
This 253-nucleotide ribosomal RNA is filed under the name uncultured bacterium. RNAcentral's name for it is "partial 16S ribosomal RNA". It matches the Rfam family "Bacterial small subunit ribosomal RNA", at positions 524 to 776 of the family's 1533-position model. The record is from RNAcentral.